CAUCGCCCGUUGCUCCUUCCGAUUGAAUGGUCCGGUGAAGUGUUCGGAUCGUGGCGACGGGGGCGGUUCGCCGCCCCCGACAUCGCGAGAAGUCCAUUGAACCUUAUCAUUUAGAGGAAGGAGAAGUCGUAACAAGGUUUCCGUAGGUGAACCUGCGGAAG
RNAcentral lists this ribosomal RNA (161 nucleotides) under Triticum dicoccoides. Its description in RNAcentral is "rRNA SSU_rRNA_eukarya". It matches the Rfam family "Eukaryotic small subunit ribosomal RNA", at positions 1667 to 1823 of the family's 1831-position model. Lineage: Eukaryota; Viridiplantae; Streptophyta; Magnoliopsida; Poales; Poaceae. The record is from RNAcentral.